RNAcentral lists this ribosomal RNA (940 nucleotides) under Parasola leiocephala. RNAcentral's name for it is "partial large subunit ribosomal RNA". It matches the Rfam family "Eukaryotic large subunit ribosomal RNA", at positions 48 to 981 of the family's 3401-position model. The record is from RNAcentral. Lineage: Eukaryota; Fungi; Basidiomycota; Agaricomycetes; Agaricales; Psathyrellaceae.
ACCCGGAGAAGACUACAAGGAUUCCCCUAGUAACUGCGAGUGAAGAGGGAAAAGCUCAAAUUUAAAAUCUGGCAGCCUUUGGUUGUCCGAGUUGUAAUCUAGAGAAGUGUUACCCGCGCCGGACCGUGUAUAAGUCUCCUGGAAUGGAGCGUCAUAGAGGGUGAGAAUCCCGUCUUCGACACGGAUCCCCGGGGCUUUGUGGUGCGCUCUCAAAGAGUCGAGUUGUUUGGGAAUGCAGCUCAAAAUGGGUGGUAAAUUCCAUCUAAAGCUAAAUAUUGGCGAGAGACCGAUAGCGAACAAGUACCGUGAGGGAAAGAUGAAAAGAACUUUGGAAAGAGAGUUAAACAGUACGUGAAAUUGCUGAAAGGGAAACGCUUGAAGUCAGUCGCGUCGGCUGGAAAUCAACCUUGCUUUUGUUGGGUGUACUUUCCAGUUGACGGGCCAGCAUCAGUUUUGACCGAUGGAAAAAGUCCAGAGGAAGGUGGCACCUUCGGGUGUGUUAUAGCCUUUGGUCGUAUACAUCGGUUGGGACUGAGGAACUCAGCACGCCGCAAGGCCGGUCUUCGGACACGUUCGUGCUUAGGAUGCUGGCAUAAUGGCUUUAAUCGACCCGUCUUGAAACACGGACCAAGGAGUCUAACAUGCCUGCGAGUGUUUGGGUGGAAAACCCGAGCGCGUAAUGAAAGUGAAAGUCGAGAUCCUUGUCAUGGGGAGCAUCGACGCCCGGACCAGAAGUUCUCUGACGGUUCCGCGGUAGAGCAUGUAUGUUGGGACCCGAAAGAUGGUGAACUAUGCCUGAAUAGGGUGAAGCCAGAGGAAACUCUGGUGGAGGCUCGUAGCGAUUCUGACGUGCAAAUCGAUCGUCAAAUUUGGGUAUAGGGGCGAAAGACUAAUCGAACCAUCUAGUAGCUGGUUCCUGCCGAAUUUCCCCUCCAGGAAA